AGUUGCGAUCAUACCAGCACUAAUGCACCGGAUCCCAUCAGAACUUCGCAGUGAAGCGUGCUUGGGCGAGGGUAGUACUAGGAUGGGUGACCUCCUGGGAAGUCCUCGUGUUGCACCUC
This 119-nucleotide ribosomal RNA is filed under the name Phaseolus vulgaris (common bean). The record is from RNAcentral. Lineage: Eukaryota; Viridiplantae; Streptophyta; Magnoliopsida; Fabales; Fabaceae.